UACAGAGGGGGCAAGCGUUAUUCGGAAUUAUUGGGCGUAAAGGGCGCGUAGGCGGCUUGGCAAGUGGAAGGUGAAAUCCCUCGGCUUAACCGAGGAACUGCCCUCCAAACUGCUUCGCUUGAGACCGGGAGAGGUGAGUGGAAUUCCCAGUGUAGCGGUGAAAUGCUUAGAUAUGACAUAGAACACCCAUUGCGAAGGCAGCUCGCUACACUAUUAUUGACACUGAGGCACGAAAGCGUGGGGAUCAAACAGG
Molecule: ribosomal RNA, 253 nt
Filed under: uncultured bacterium
Lineage: Bacteria
Description: partial 16S ribosomal RNA
Rfam family: Bacterial small subunit ribosomal RNA
Source: RNAcentral